This 359-nucleotide ribosomal RNA is filed under the name uncultured bacterium. Its description in RNAcentral is "bacterial SSU rRNA". It matches the Rfam family "Bacterial small subunit ribosomal RNA", at positions 30 to 387 of the family's 1533-position model. The record is from RNAcentral.
AUUGAACGCUGGCGGCAUGCCUUACAUAUGCAAGUCGAACGGCAGCACGGGAGCAAUCCUGGUGGCGAGUGGCGAACGGGUGAGUAAUAUAUCGGAACGUGUCCAGUCGUGGGGGAUAACGUAGCGAAAGCUACGCUAAUACCGCAUACGAUCUACGGAUGAAAGCGGGGGAUCGCAAGACCUCGCGCGAUUGGAGCGGCCGAUAUCAGAUUAGGUAGUUGGUGAGGUAAAGGCUCACCAAGCCGACGAUCUGUAACUGGUCUGAGAGGAUGAUCAGUCACACUGGAACUGAGACACGGUCCAGACUCCUACGGGAGGCAGCAGUGGGGAAUAUUUGGGACAAUGGGCGAAGACCUGAU